AGGCAGUUAAUCUAAUCAAGAUGACUGAUUUCGACUCAGUAAAUUCCAGUUAAACUCCGGAACAGCCUU
This 69-nucleotide transfer RNA is filed under the name Leptobrachella alpina. RNAcentral's name for it is "tRNA-Arg". It matches the Rfam family "tRNA". Rfam says of the family: Transfer RNA (tRNA) molecules are approximately 80 nucleotides in length. Their secondary structure includes four short double-helical elements and three loops (D, anti-codon, and T loops). Lineage: Eukaryota; Metazoa; Chordata; Amphibia; Anura; Megophryidae. The record is from RNAcentral.